CCAGCCGCCACAGUAAUUUGUCGUCAAGUCUGCCACAGGAGGAUAUUUUAUUCUGGGUUAACCUGCUUUUAUCCUUCGCAGGUUGUUUAUCCAUGUUUGUGUAAUUUUAAUUACUCCUAGAAUUUCCGCAUGUGUUAGCAGUAUUUAUUUGAAAUUGGUCUGUAAUAUUUUUAUCAUGUUGGACCUGUAAACUUAAAUAUGUUAUGCAUGUUGAUGGAUUGGAUGAGGGAGCUGAGCUCCCAUUUAUUUUAUGUUGAUGAGUAUGUGGAGGGUGAGCUGAGCUCCCCAAUUGAGUA
Molecule: long non-coding RNA, 296 nt
Organism: Hevea brasiliensis (rubber tree)
Lineage: Eukaryota; Viridiplantae; Streptophyta; Magnoliopsida; Malpighiales; Euphorbiaceae
Exons: 2
Source: RefSeq, a predicted model, not a curated record